Molecule: transfer RNA, 75 nt
Filed under: Pseudomonadota bacterium
Lineage: Bacteria; Pseudomonadati; Pseudomonadota
Also listed under: 1 other name
Description: tRNA-Glu
Rfam family: tRNA
About the family: Transfer RNA (tRNA) molecules are approximately 80 nucleotides in length. Their secondary structure includes four short double-helical elements and three loops (D, anti-codon, and T loops). Further hydrogen bonds mediate the characteristic L-shaped molecular structure. tRNAs have two regions of fundamental functional importance: the anti-codon, which is responsible for specific mRNA codon recognition, and the 3' end, to which the tRNAs corresponding amino acid is attached (by aminoacyl-tRNA synthetases). tRNAs cope with the degeneracy of the genetic code in two manners: having more than one tRNA (with a specific anti-codon) for a particular amino acid; and 'wobble' base-pairing, i.e. permitting non-standard base-pairing at the 3rd anti-codon position.
Source: RNAcentral
GGCUCCAUCGACUAGCCUGGUUCAGGUCAGCGGUCUCUCAAGCCGCAAGCACGGGUUCAAAUCCCGUUGGAGCCA